GCCCGCUCAGAAACUUAAAGGAAUUGACGGGGGCCCGCACAAGCGGUGGAGUAUGUGGUUUAAUUCGAUGCAACGCGAAGAACCUUACCUGGUCUUGACAUCCCGGAGACCCUUAGGAAACUAGGGGGUGCUUCCAUCUGGAAGAAUCUGGAGACAGGUGCUGCAUGACUGUCGUCAGCUCGUGUCGUGAGAUGUUGGGUUAAGUCCCGCAACGAGCGCAACCCUUGCCUUUAGUUGCCAGCAGUUCGGCUGGGCACUCUAAAGGGACUGCCGGUGUUAAACCGGAGGAAGGUGGGGAUGACGUCAAGUCCUCAUGGCCUUUAUGACCAGGGCUACACACGUACUACAAUGGCCGAUACAAAGGGCAGCGACACUGCGAGGUGAAGCCAAUCCCGUAAAAUCGGUCUCAGUCCGGAUUGGAGUCUGCAACUCGACUCCAUGAAGUUGGAAUCGCUAGUAAUCGCGGAUCAGCAUGCCGCGGUGAAUACGUUCCCGGGCCUU
Molecule: ribosomal RNA, 501 nt
Filed under: uncultured Desulfobulbus sp.
Lineage: Bacteria; Pseudomonadati; Thermodesulfobacteriota; Desulfobulbia; Desulfobulbales; Desulfobulbaceae
Description: bacterial SSU rRNA
Rfam family: Bacterial small subunit ribosomal RNA
Source: RNAcentral